Molecule: microRNA precursor, 78 nt
Organism: Nomascus leucogenys (northern white-cheeked gibbon)
Lineage: Eukaryota; Metazoa; Chordata; Mammalia; Primates; Hylobatidae
Rfam family: mir-132 microRNA precursor family
Source: Rfam
CUCCAGGGCAACCGUGGCUUUCGAUUGUUACUGUGGGAACUGGAGGUAACAGUCUACAGCCAUGGUCGCCCCGCAGCA